This 1215-nucleotide long non-coding RNA is filed under the name Equus asinus (donkey). RNAcentral's name for it is "lncRNA (ENSEASG00005030417.1)". The record is from RNAcentral. Lineage: Eukaryota; Metazoa; Chordata; Mammalia; Perissodactyla; Equidae.
AGCACAAUACAGGGGAAGUGCCACCUCUGUGAUCUCUGAGGGUUCAGAGGGACCUGGAGAACCAACAUCCCUUAGGCCAUCUAUCAAGAUGCCCUGUUCCAUGUUUCAGGGUCUCUAGUUUUCUCAACCAGGGCCAACUUUAACAUUACAGAUCUUCCCACCUGAGUAUUUAAAGUCUCUGGAGCUCUGAAAUUCUACUAGAUCUUAUGUUUACUGUCUGCUGCUCAGCUGUGUCCCCUCUUCCACGGCAGGAGGUAGAAGCCUCUUUGUAAGCUCCCAAUGAGACCCUCUGGUUCUCACCCUGAAGACUUUACCUGUUUGUUAAUGGUCUUUGGUUCUUUAUUAGCUCUCUGCAGAGUGUCAAUACAACUUAGCAAUAACCUUAACCACCACUCCACUGCCUUUGUGGGCAUUGCUCUCCUCUCACCUUUCGUAUGCCCGAAUCAUCAUACCUACAAGGGUAUUUUCCUCCACAAAGAUGCUUUUCCCCAUCACUGCCAGUGCAAUAUUUAGCAAAUGAACUGUGUGUCAGCGACUCAGGAUGGUAUCUUCUUUACCAGUCCAUGAACCCCAUCUUACUGCCCAUUAUCUUAUACCAUUCUUCGCAUCACUUAUGUUAGUUCGAGUCCUCUGAAAAGCAGAUGCCAAGAUGGAAUUCGACCUUUUAGAGAUUAAGGAGGAAAAUUUGGUAAGUAAAAAUGUGUAGGGAACUGGAGGAGGCCCUAAAGUCAUCUGACCAUGAUGCAAUUCUGACCUCUGAGAGGAGAGAGGGAAGGAGAAAAAAGGCUGGGUAGGAAAAGUCUUAGAAUUCUGGGCAAUUCAAGAAAGUUUCCUCAAGAUCUACAGGGAGUCCUCAAGUCAAAGUCUCUCAUAGAGGAGCCCCAACAUCUCUCAGGAAUGAGCCUGCCAUGGCAUCUUUGCUGAGCUCAGUCACUGUUCAGGCAGCAUGGUUGACAGUUGGCCUUGGUGUGAAGACAGCGACAGUUUUCAGAGCAUAGCAGCUGGGGUCCUCAGUCAACCUCGUUCCUCAUACUCAGAGAUCUGAGAGGCACAUUCCCACAGCUGCCACUUCCUCUUGAGGAUUCAGGCUUCUGUAUGGUCUGAAAGUCCACUGCAUUCAGUCAAUGGAUGAGAAGGGUGAGAAGCGACACACAUCUCUCUGCCCACAUUGGUGAGAAUCAAUCACAUGGAUGCACUUCACUGAAAGAAGAGUCU